CUGACGCCGCCGCCUUCCCCUUUUCCCGCUAGCCCCAACACGGAGGCCGCAACAUCGGACGCCCCGGCCACGCGCGCCAAUGAAAGGGCGGAGCAGGGCCAGCGGCUAGAGCAUGGCGAGGAGCUGGCGCAAUGCGAGCAACGCGCUUAUCCGGCCCGCUGGGUCCACCGCCUGCAUGCUCCCGGCCAUUUUUUGCAACCUCCGCCUCCGCCUCCUAUCCCUUCGUCUCCCUCGACGUGGGCCGUGAGGACUGGUGCAAGCCGACAGCAGACGAAGCUUGGUCUGGAAGGAGUUUUCGACAUCGACGACACAAAAGCAAAGCAGAGAGAAGGAAAGCGAGAGCAUGGCGAACGCAGAGAGAAAGAAAGUGAGAUGCAGCCGAUGGAGAAGUAUCUACUGGAAUUAUCUAGAGGCGAACGACGUGUCCUUUUCUGUCCCGCUCCACAACUGUUACAACAACACACAUGA
This 468-nucleotide unclassified non-coding RNA is filed under the name Zea mays. RNAcentral describes it as "misc RNA Zm00001eb430550". Lineage: Eukaryota; Viridiplantae; Streptophyta; Magnoliopsida; Poales; Poaceae. The record is from RNAcentral.